AUGAGGAUGACAUAUUUGAGAAUAUAUGCUGCAAUUAAUGUUUGUCCCAAGAUUGGGGAUGCUAUGUUUAAUAAUGAUGAUAUUUUUAGCCUCCCAAGUUUUGAUAUGCAAAGUAGUUAUGAUGAUAGCAUACCUUCUACCUAUGAUGAUUAUAUUGAUGAAAGUGGGUUUGGAAGAGUGUCAACUUUAGGAAGUAAUGAUCCCACUAUUUUGGAGGAUGUUAAAUCUUAUAAUAUUUAUGAAAGUGGAUUUGCAGAGGUCAUGACUUUAUUUAGUGAUGUAUCCACUAUCUUCGAAGAGGUUUCAAUCGAUUAUGAUGAGAACAAAGUUGCUACUUAUGAUGAUUACUGUGAUAAAACUUAUGCUAUAAAGAGUAGUGAUGAUUAUAUUUAUAAAAAUUGUCAUGAUUAUGAUUAUCCUUUUUCUGAACAUUACUCUUUUAAUGUGGAAACAAUUUAUAGUAUUCAAGUCUCUUAUGAUACUCCCACUAUUCCGAAUGAGAAGAAUUGUGCUUAUGUGGAGAGUAGUAAAUUUUCUAUGCUUGUAGAUCAUGAAAAGAAUGCUUUAGGUGCUGGUUAUAUUGUUGAAUUCAUUCAUGAUGCUACUAAAAAUUAUUAUGAGGGAGGAACAUAUGCUUGUAGGAAUUGUAAUAAUAUCAAGUUUCCUCUCAAUGUGCUUAAAGUUUUAAAGUUAUGCUUGCUUUGCCUUCCUAUGCAAGUUGAUUGUUGUUUCCAUAAGUUGUUUGCUCACAAAAUCCCUAUGCAUAGGAAGUGGGUUAGACUUAAAUGUGCUAGUCAUAUUCUUAAUGAUGCUCUCUUUAUGUUUCAAUUCUUAUCUUUUAUGUGA
RNAcentral lists this ribosomal RNA (846 nucleotides) under Triticum aestivum (bread wheat). Its description in RNAcentral is "partial small subunit ribosomal RNA". The record is from RNAcentral. Lineage: Eukaryota; Viridiplantae; Streptophyta; Magnoliopsida; Poales; Poaceae.